This 253-nucleotide ribosomal RNA is filed under the name uncultured bacterium. RNAcentral's name for it is "partial 16S ribosomal RNA". It matches the Rfam family "Bacterial small subunit ribosomal RNA", at positions 524 to 776 of the family's 1533-position model. The record is from RNAcentral.
UACGGAGGGAGCUAGCGUUGUUCGGAAUUACUGGGCGUAAAGCGCGUGUAGGCUGCUCGGAAAGUCGGAUGUGAAAGCCCUGGGCUCAACCCAGGAAGUGCACUCGAAGCUCCCGAGCUGGAGUCCCGGAGAGGAAGGCGGAACUCUCGGUGUAGAGGUGAAAUUCGUAGAUAUCGAGAGGAACAUCGGUGGCGAAGGCGGCCUUCUGGACGGUGACUGACGCUGAGGAGCGAAAGCGUGGGGAGCAAACAGG